Molecule: long non-coding RNA, 306 nt
Filed under: Coturnix japonica (Japanese quail)
Lineage: Eukaryota; Metazoa; Chordata; Aves; Galliformes; Phasianidae
Description: lncRNA (ENSCJPG00005016385.1)
Source: RNAcentral
CCAGCCUGGGGCCCAGUUCCUUCCUGGAGAAGCUUCAUGGGUUUCAGUUGCCCCCAGGCUUCUGGAUGAGACCAGGGUUCACAGGUGAUGUGACUGGACCUACCCAGGUGGGAGAAGAUAAGUAGAAGAUGCCCAGAGGUGGUGGGUCCUCCAGGUGUUGUGAAGGCCCAGGAGGAGCAGCAGAGAUCUGAGCCUGUAGAUCUGAAGAGCUCCCAAAGCACUGUAGAUCGAAGCUUUACAUAACUUCAGGAGCCAACGGCUUUGUGAGGGAAUCCCACUAACAGGAGCUGUGUCAGUGCCAUCGGC